This 242-nucleotide unclassified non-coding RNA is filed under the name plant metagenome. RNAcentral's name for it is "partial contains small subunit ribosomal RNA, internal transcribed spacer 1, and 5.8S ribosomal RNA". The stretch from base 1 to 54 matches the Rfam family "Eukaryotic small subunit ribosomal RNA", at positions 1778 to 1831 of the family's 1831-position model. The record is from RNAcentral.
GAAAGUAAAAGUCGUAACAAGGCUUCCGUAGGUGAACCUGAGGAAGGAUCAUUACAGAGUUCAUGCCCUCACGGGUAGAUCUCCCACCCUUGAAUAUUUAUACCUUAGUUGCUUUGGCAGGCCGUGGAAACACCAUGGGCCCCGGCUUAUGCGUGCCUGCCAGAGGAAACAAACUCUGUUUUUAGUGAUGUCUGAGUACUAUAUAAUAGUUAAAACUUUCAACAACGGAUCUCUUGGUUCUG